RNAcentral lists this ribosomal RNA (253 nucleotides) under uncultured bacterium. Its description in RNAcentral is "partial 16S ribosomal RNA". It matches the Rfam family "Bacterial small subunit ribosomal RNA", at positions 524 to 776 of the family's 1533-position model. The record is from RNAcentral.
UACGGGGGGGGCAAGCGUUGUUCGGAAUUACUGGGCGUAAAGGGCUCGUAGGUGGCCAACUAAGUCAGACGUGAAAUCCCUCGGCUUAACCGGGGAACUGCGUCUGAUACUGGAUGGCUUGAGUUCGGGAGAGGGAUGCGGAAUUCCAGGUGUAGCGGUGAAAUGCGUAGAUAUCUGGAGGAACACCGGUGGCGAAGGCGGCAUCCUGGACCAACACUGACGCUGAUGCGCGAAAGCCAGGGGAGCGAACGGG